Molecule: ribosomal RNA, 253 nt
Filed under: uncultured bacterium
Lineage: Bacteria
Description: partial 16S ribosomal RNA
Rfam family: Bacterial small subunit ribosomal RNA
Source: RNAcentral
UACAGAGGGUGCGAGCGUUGUCCGGAAUCACUGGGCGUAAAGGGCGCGUAGGUGGCGACCCAAGUCGAUGGUGAAAGCUCGCCGCUCAACGGCGAGUCGGCCACCGAUACUGGGUUGCUCGAGCACUGUAGAGGCUAAUGGAAUUCCGGGUGUAGCGGUGGAGUGCGUAGAGAUCCGGAAGAACACCGGUGGCGAAGGCGGUUAGCUGGGCAGUUGCUGACACUGAGGCGCGACAGCGUGGGGAGCAAACAGG